This 468-nucleotide ribosomal RNA is filed under the name uncultured bacterium. RNAcentral describes it as "partial 16S ribosomal RNA". It matches the Rfam family "Bacterial small subunit ribosomal RNA", at positions 28 to 507 of the family's 1533-position model. The record is from RNAcentral.
GACGAACGCUGGCGGCGUGCUUAACACAUGCAAGUCGAACGGCAAGGCCCUGCUAUUGUGGGGUGCUCGAGUGGCGAACGGGUGCGUAACACGUGAGUAACCUGCCCUUGACUUUGGGAUAACUUCAGGAAACUGGGGCUAAUACCGGAUAGGAGCCCCUGCUGCAUGGUGGGGGUUGGAUAGUUGCGGCGGUUGGGGAUGGACUCGCGGCUUAUCAGCUAGUUGGUGGGGUAGUGGCUUACCAAGGCUUUGACGGGUAGCCGGCCUGAGAGGGUGACCGGCCACAUUGGGACUGAGGUACGGCCCAGACUCCUACGGGAGGCAGCAGUGGGGAGUAUUGCACAGUGGGCGGAAGCCUGAUGCAGAAACGCCGCGUGCGGGAUGACGGCCUUCGGGUUGUAAACCGCUUUCGCCUGUGACGAAGCGUGAGUGACGGUAAUGGGUAAAGAAGCACCGGCUAACUACGUG